Long non-coding RNA from Polyodon spathula (Mississippi paddlefish), 545 nucleotides. RefSeq lists it as uncharacterized. The transcript is spliced from 3 exons. The record is from RefSeq and is a predicted model, not a curated record. Lineage: Eukaryota; Metazoa; Chordata; Actinopteri; Acipenseriformes; Polyodontidae.
ACUAUCUCUCCAUCUUUUUUAUUUUGUAUAUCUGUAUUAUACUACAUUAUUGCUGUCUUAUUUAAACAUUUACUUUAAAAUAAAGAUUCUGGGAUCUCAAAGGGCAACACUGUGGGCGACAGAAAUUGACACGUGGCCCAGCAGCAACAAAAAGAAAGCGUGCCUUGACAGUCUGACAUACUCCGGGCGUGGGCACAGACAGUUUCUGCUGAUCUAUCUCAAUAAUCUCCAGUAAUAUCCAUCAGAGCCAGUGCAUCUUCACAAUGUAAUGAAAGGUGAGGAUUGGCCAGAGACACGAUUACAAUGAUGACAUGGAAUUCCAGUGAACUGCAGGGCAGGUGCCUGAAACCCUAAGGAUAAGCACGCAGGUGCGCUGAACAAUUAAGAUCAUGUAUGCUUUCCCAGCAUCACAAUUCAACCCUUUGUCCUGCUGUUUGUAUUAACCAUUUCUGUAAAGACAGUAUUCAGCCCGUUCAAGACACAGUUCUUAAACCAGGUCUUUUGAGCCUCGCUCUCCGGCAAGGUCGUUGCCAAAUAAAACUUUA